RNAcentral lists this ribosomal RNA (1036 nucleotides) under Streptomyces sp. WMMB 322. Its description in RNAcentral is "bacterial LSU rRNA". It matches the Rfam family "Bacterial large subunit ribosomal RNA", at positions 1557 to 2571 of the family's 2925-position model. The record is from RNAcentral. Lineage: Bacteria; Bacillati; Actinomycetota; Actinomycetes; Kitasatosporales; Streptomycetaceae.
UGAGACCUGAUGCCGAGCCGAUUGUGGUGAAGUGGAUGAUCCUAUGCUGUCGAGAAAAGCCUCUAGCGAGUGCUGUUGCGGCCCGUACCCUAAACCGACUCAGGUGGUCUGGUAGAGAAUACCGAGGCGUUCGGGUGAACUAUGGUUAAGGAACUCGGCAAAAUGCCCCCGUAACUUCGGGAGAAGGGGGGCCACGGCUGGUGAUCCCACGUGCUGGGGGAGCUGGUGGUGGCCGCAGAGACCAGCGAGAAGCGACUGUUUACUAAAAACACAGGUCCGUGCGAAGCCGUAAGGCGAUGUAUACGGACUGACGCCUGCCCGGUGCUGGAACGUUAAGGGGACCGGUUAGUCACAUUUCGGUGUGGCGAAGCUGAGAACUUAAGCGCCAGUAAACGGCGGUGGUAACUAUAACCAUCCUAAGGUAGCGAAAUUCCUUGUCGGGUAAGUUCCGACCUGCACGAAUGGCGUAACGACUUCUUGACUGUCUCAACCAUAGGCCCGGUGAAAUUGCACUACGAGUAAAGAUGCUCGUUUCGCGCAGCAGGACGGAAAGACCCCGGGACCUUUACUACAGCUUGAUAUUGGUGUUCGGUUCGGUUUGUGUAGGAUAGGUGGGAGACUGUGAUACUCGCACGCCAGUGUGGGUGGAGUCGUUGUUGAAAUACCACUCUGAUCGUGCUGGAUGUCUAACCUGGGUCCGUGAUCCGGAUCAGGGACAGUGUCUGGUGGGUAGUUUAACUGGGGCGGUUGCCUCCUAAAAUGUAACGGAGGCGCCCAAAGGUUCCCUCAGCCUGGUUGGUCAUCAGGUGGUGAGUGUAAGUGCACAAGGGAGCUUGACUGUGAGACUGACGGGUCGAGCAGGGACGAAAGUCGGGACUAGUGAUCCGGCGGUGGCUUGUGGAAGCGCCGUCGCUCAACGGAUAAAAGGUACCCCGGGGAUAACAGGCUGAUCUUCCCCAAGAGUCCAUAUCGACGGGAUGGUUUGGCACCUCGAUGUCGGCUCGUCGCAUCCUGGGGCUGGAGUCGGUCCCAAGGG